GGAUUGUAGCUCAGUGGUAGAGCACUUGCCUUGUAUGUGUGAGGCCCAGGGUUCGAUUCCCAGCACCA
Molecule: transfer RNA, 68 nt
Filed under: Marmota monax (woodchuck)
Lineage: Eukaryota; Metazoa; Chordata; Mammalia; Rodentia; Sciuridae
Description: tRNA.Thr
Rfam family: tRNA (bases 5-65)
About the family: Transfer RNA (tRNA) molecules are approximately 80 nucleotides in length. Their secondary structure includes four short double-helical elements and three loops (D, anti-codon, and T loops).
Source: RNAcentral